This is an RNA transcript of Dermochelys coriacea (leatherback sea turtle), 2403 nucleotides long. It is a transcript of the gene named nudix hydrolase 18, with no coding region annotated. The record is from RefSeq and is a predicted model, not a curated record. NCBI's taxonomy places the organism in Eukaryota, Metazoa, Chordata, Testudines, Dermochelyidae. The transcript is spliced from 7 exons.
CAGCCCUCCCCCCCAAGUCCCCUCAGCUCCCAGGGGGCCCCUCUCUCUGCCCCCCAGGUCCCAGUUCUCAGCGCGUCCCCCCUCCCCUAUGCCACACUCUGACCCCUCUCCCGCUCUCGGGGGUGCCCCCCUUUUUUUCUUGCGCGCCCCAAAGAGAGGUGUCGGUGCAGAGGGUUGGGGAUAUUUUGGGAGCAAACCUCCCGUGGGCUGGAGCGUUUCAGCCUCCCUGCCGCCUUCGCCCAGAAACCCGCCUGGGACUGGGGAGGAGCAGUUGAAUAUUUGGGUGUGGGGAGAGAUCGGCCCUUCUGGAGCCCCCAUCCCACUGCCCCCCCCCCCCGCUUCCCGCUCUCUGGGUCCCUCUGGUCCCCCAGCCCCGCUUUGUGGGCGCUCAGGCCACCAUGCUCCCCUGCCACCACAGCCCUCUGGUGCCCUCCUGUCGCUGCGCCUUGUGCCACUGAGCCGUGGGGUUUGCUGUGUUGCAGCCAUGGCCUGUGGCGCUCUGGCAGAGGAGCUGGACGCCGUGCUGAGCGGGCGGGGUUGGGAGGUGCAGGAGAGGUACGACUCUGCCCCCGUGCCCGCUCACCCGGUCAGAGUGCGGAAGACGGCCUGCUACAUCGUCCUGGCUGUCCUGCUCAACGACCAGAACGAGGUGCUGAUGAUGCAGGAGGCCAAGCACGAGUGCUAUGGGACAUGGUACCUGCCUGCCGGGAGGAUGGAGCCCAAUGAGACCAUCCUGGAGGCCAUGAAGAGGGAGGUGAAGGAGGAGACGGGGCUGGAGUGUGAGCCUCUCACCCUGCUGGCAGUGGAAGAGAGAGGCUCCGUCUGGAUUCGCUACGUCUUCCUCGCUCGGCCAACUGCACCCAGUGAUCUGCAGAAAUGUAACAUCCCCGUCAACCCCUUCCGUGCCCCAGGCACUGCUGCCCAGACACGCUCUGUUUUCUGCCUAGGUGGGACCUUGAAGGCACCCCAUGAUGCAGAUGCUGAAUCCCUCCAAGCCAGGUGGUGGGACAGAGAAUCUCCUGCCCUUCCUCUGCGAGCUCGGGAUAUCCUGCCUCUUAUGGACCUUGCUGUGCGAUACCGAGACAGCCCAUCCCACCCAGUGAUCUUGCCGGAGGAGAUGCCCUGUGCCUUGAUCUGCCAGAGGCUCCUGGCUACGUUCACCAAUGGUGCCGGUGACUUGUGGGUGCUGCUGAGUGCUGUAGGGGCCCCGCACCUGCCGGUGUCUGCCCGCACCACCUCCCCCUGCAAAAUCCAAAACAGCAUCCAAGCAGCAGCCUGCAGGCUGCUGAAGGAAUGCUGCCUGCUACCGCAAGUGACUGUCCGGGCCCACGGGGUCCUGGGGCUGCAGCACCUGGGCAAGAAUGCAGGGAAAUCUGAUGGCGUUUGCUUCAAUGUGCUGCUCACUGUUACGCAGGGUGGCCAGAGCACCCAGGAGACGCCACCAGAGCUGCAGGGUGAGAGCUUCCAGUGGUGGAAGAUCGAGGAGAGCAACUUGAGAAGUAGAAUCCUCCAGAGGCUCAGCUCUUCGGCCGUUGUUCCAAUUCACAGCUACUGACACAGGGUUUCAUUGAAGCUUGGAUUCAGAGACCUUUCCCUGGGCAUGGGACACACCUCACCCUAUUACGGCCAUUGGCUGUCCCCACGCAGCCAUCCCGAGAACGAUGCAUGGCUUCCCCGCAGGGCACAUCCUACCCAGCCGCUGCCAACCGCAGACCCAUUUCCCCAGCAUGGUUAUGGAAGGCCCUGCUACAGGCCAGGAAGCAUUUUAAUGUAAGGACCGUAAUACACUUCCAAGGGUGGAUAAUCUGGUAUGGCUACACUGUCCCUGCUUCAGGCAACCAUCAAGAAAGCGUGAGAGAAACAAACUGGAGUCCAGCUGAACUGUGAGAAAAUUAAAGGGAAUGCUCUGGGAUAACAUUAAGACAAAUACCUAGGUUUUAUUACACAUGUUUUCACAACCCAAACAUAAGCGAAAACUGAUUUGGUUUAGGAAGUAAAUAUUUCCCUUCAGCACUGUAAAACCAUCAUUGGAGCAUUGAAAAACUGACUAGAAACAGCAGUGAAAUUGACCAGACUUAGAUCACUAUCCCAGCUCAGCACAAUGCAUAAAAAUACCCUAACAGCAGAAAUAAAUAAUGCUUUGUCCUUCUCAUGUACCUUUUAAGGCUCUCACAGUGUUUCACAAACAUUAUUAAUUAAUUUAUAUUGCUUAAUGAACUUCACUUUAAUAAAUUAAGCUUCUCAGCUGCCCUGUGGUGAAAAAAAUCAAUUAGAUUAUUUUUUCAUUUUCAAAAGGUUUGUUAUUCAUCAGUCCUACAACAUGAUGAAAUGGAAAAAACAAGCAAGAAUGAAUCAUAGUAGAGAUAAAGGGAAGACAGUACUGAAUGCAACUGAUUUUUAUAA